RNAcentral lists this transfer RNA (73 nucleotides) under Climacteris picumnus (brown treecreeper). RNAcentral describes it as "tRNA-Asn". Lineage: Eukaryota; Metazoa; Chordata; Aves; Passeriformes; Climacteridae. The record is from RNAcentral.
UAGGCAGAGGCCUGUAGGUUUAGGCAUGCAGCUGUUAACUGUAGUUUCGUGGGAUCGAAGCCCGCCUGCCUAG